Molecule: non-coding RNA, 2392 nt
Organism: Epinephelus lanceolatus (giant grouper)
Lineage: Eukaryota; Metazoa; Chordata; Actinopteri; Perciformes; Serranidae
Source: RefSeq, a predicted model, not a curated record
UGUAUAGAGAUAGAGAAACGGCACAAUGCGCCGUCUGCCAGACAGCAGUCAAAGAGGAUUGGAGAUUAGCCGGGUGCAGACACAGUCGGUCGAUCAGUCAGUCAGGGAGGGAGGGAGCCGAAGAAAAGCAAGAGGGCAGUGUGGUCUCAGGGAUUUUUCUCUCUUCCCCCCCUUCCCAGUCUCUCCGGGCCCCGUCGCUGAUUUGAGCCUCCAGCCGGUUGUACGUCGUCGCUCUCCUUCUCUGCUCCAUCUGUCCCUCCCCCCAUCAUCUCUCCUCUUUCUCUCCUUCCUCCCUCCCUCUCUCUCACUCUCCCUCUUUCUCUCUUUCUCUCUCUCAUACCAAAGCCUGGGGGAGCCAGUGGAGAUUAAAUGUAGCCUCUAUAAGCCAAAGCACAUCAUGUAGCAAUGUUUCUAUGGUCCCUUCUCUCUCACACUCUUUCUCUCCCUCUCUCUGUCUCUCUCUGUCUGUCUGUCUCUCCGUCCUCCUCUGAAGCGAUAGUGUGAAUGAUGUCGGCUCGUGUGAGACACACACUCAGGGAAAGAAAGGAGAAAGAGAGUGCGAGGACUGGAAAAGUGGAUUUUUGUUUUUCUUUUUCUUUUGCAUGCAUGCAGAAGAGAACAGAGGAUUUGUUUUAUGGGUGGAAAACGGACAACGGCAAGGUGGAAAAAACAACGAAAGGAGGACUACUUUCUCUCUACCUCCCUCCCUCCCUCCUUCCCUCCCCUCCUCCUCCUCACCUCUCUCCCCCUCUCUCUCUCGUCUGAUACAGAGGAAAAGUGGGCCUCUGGCUGUAAGCGAUUACAGCUGUGAGGCAAAUUAAUGGAUGAUAUUUCUCUCCCCCCUUUUUCAUUUAAAAAAAAAAUGCUUUUCCUCCUGCCGAUCAACACGAGGAGAAAAAAAAAGAGCCAGAGGGGGGAAAAGAAAGAGUAAAGGAAAGAUUGAGAGAAAGAGGUGGAGUACUAAUAUUGGGGAGGGGGGGGGGGGGGAUAUGGUUUUUUCCUGUCUUCCCUCCUUUCCAGCUCUGCAUGUGAUUGAAAGAGAGAGAAAACAAUGCGAAGGAAAAGGGCGAGGAAGAGAGAAAGCGGAGCGAGACAAGAGAUCAGCAGGCGCAUUCGUUUUGUCCUUUAACUUGGAUUUGUGUGUGUGUGUGUGAGAGAGAGAGAGAGAGAGUGUGCGUGUGUGAAAGUGCAUGUGUGUGUGUGUGUGUGUGUGUGUGUGUGUGUGUGCAUUUGUUCCCUCGCCAACCUGCCUCGGACCUGCAGGUUUGGGUAAAAAAAGUAAGUAGAGGCUCGAGUGCAAGAAAGGCAAAUGAGUGUGGCACUGUUUUGUGUAUGCAAUGCAUGCAAGUGUAUGAGUAGGUGUGUGUGUGUGUGUGUGUGUGUGUGUGUGGUGUAUGUGUGUGUGUGCAGCCCCCCCCCCUCCGCCUCCUCCCUUCGGUGAGGCAGCAUACUGGUAUGCUUCACAGGCACUGUGGCCCCGGCUGCAAGCACUGAUUCCAUGGCUCGAUGCUCGCUCUUUUAUUUUACCUUUCUUUCUCUUUACCUCUCACACUCUCCGUCUACGUCUCUCACACACACACACACACUCUCUCCGUCUCACACACACACGCACUCUCCGUCUCACACACACACACUCUCCGUUGCUGUGUACCUGUUCUAUCUAACCUUUAAGUAUCACAAUUCCCUUUCAGCCUUUUCUGGGAAGAGGAAUCCUUUCGCCGACUCUGUCUCGCGAUUCUCUUCCCCAGACUGCUCACUCUCACUGUGUGUGUGUGUGUGUGUGUGUGUGUGUGUGUCGCUCUGUGUGUGUGUGUGUGUGUGUGUGUGUACAAGAGAGCGAAGGGAUAGAGGGAGAGAGAGCAUGCACAUGGUUCAUUCCGGCUCGGUCCUACCACCCAUCCUCAUGCCUCUCUUUCUUGUCUCCGUCCGUCGCUCUCACGCCGUUUUAUUUCGCCUGACUCUGAGCAGCUCGCCGGACGGACAGACGGACGGACCUCUUCCUUGUGUUGCUUUCUUGUGAAAAAAAAAAAAAAAAAAAAAUUCUUCCUCUGCACAUAACUGGAAUCUUGUUGGCGUGCUGCAAGUUAAAAAAAUCUGAGCUUUCUCUUUCUCUCUCUGUCUCUUUUUCUUCCCCUCCCAAGCAGGAAACGAGCGAGAAGAACAACGGGCAAAAGGGGCAUCCUGGAUCCGAAGGGGAGGCCGAUCACACCAGGUCAGGACAUGUCGGGGAAUGGUCCGUGAACAUGAGACGGAUCUGACAGCCACACUGACGCAAGCUUCAAACUGCCCAAACACACACAUGCUAUGAUAUGAGAUACUGUGACGCUGUAGAUGUGUUUUACGUGUCAUACAGAAAUGUUUGAUGUAAAUAAAAUGUGUUUUAAAAAUAUCA